This 253-nucleotide ribosomal RNA is filed under the name uncultured bacterium. Its description in RNAcentral is "partial 16S ribosomal RNA". It matches the Rfam family "Bacterial small subunit ribosomal RNA", at positions 524 to 776 of the family's 1533-position model. The record is from RNAcentral.
UACAGAGGUCUCAAGCGUUGUUCGGAUUCAUUGGGCGUAAAGGGUGUGCAGGUGGCGCCGUAAGUCGGGUGUGAAAUCUCGGGGCUUAACUCCGAAACUGCAUUCGAUACUGCGGUGCUUGAGGACUGGAGAGGAGACUGGAAUUCAUGGUGUAGCAGUGAAAUGCGUAGAGAUCAUGAGGAAGACCAGUGGCGAAGGCGGGUCUCUGGACAGUUCCUGACACUGAGACACGAAGGCCAGGGGAGCAAACGGG